GAGCCCAAGUAAGUGAAGAUUAAAUGUUUUCAGAUUUGACUCUGGAAGCAGGUUCGAUAGGUGCAGUGUCCUAGCUAGAUGCGACCUGACUCAUCCUACAGGAGAGGAUUCCGGUCCAGCUGUGGGCACCUGGCACCUACUGCAGGACUUGACAUGUAUUCCUUAGUGCUUGAUCCACACAACCAUGAAGUGACCAGCAGUGUUCCCUGGGAACAGCCAGACCCUGAUCAUCCUGGAAGAUCUGGACACCAGCUCCACGUGCUGUCUGACAUGGGUUUCUCUGUUGGCUGCUACUGUUUUCAGGCUGAGAUGUCCAGGGCUGGUGCCUACAUUGGCAUGAUGUACAGAAACGUUGACUGCAUGGGUUCAGAAAGCAACCGCUGCUUCUUGGGGAAUGACUUCUGGAGCAACCUGUGGAACAGGAAAGGGUUUUCGGCAUGGCACAAAGACUGAGAGAUACCUCUUAAAACGUAGGACAGUUCUACCUGAACUACACCAGCAGGACCUCAUCCUUUUACAGGGUCACCUCUGAUGGCAAGACCUUGAUACACCAGACUGUGAAUUUGCUAAGUCCCUCUACUCCAUCUUUUGGGUUUCAAGGAAAGAAAAUUCUAUCAGGACUGUGAGGGUGGGGAAGGUCCCACCUCCUUGCCUUCCCCGUGGAGGCUGCUCCCUUGAAAGCAUCUGAGUCAGAACUGGCCAGGGCUUAGGUUCUGGUGUGAUGCCGGUGCUGUUAUGGCAGGUAGCUGGCAAAUAAGGGAGACAUUUCAAUAAAGACUCUUGUAAUCAGGUGUGCCUCUUAGCAUCGCAUAUUUUGGAGAUGGACAUGGCUUAGGAGUUUGUGGAGUUGCUUGUCCAGGGGUCAGUACAGAUUGUUCCCAGCAGUGGAUCCCUUAA
Molecule: long non-coding RNA, 897 nt
Organism: Cygnus atratus (black swan)
Lineage: Eukaryota; Metazoa; Chordata; Aves; Anseriformes; Anatidae
Exons: 3
Source: RefSeq, a predicted model, not a curated record